RNAcentral lists this non-coding RNA (29 nucleotides) under Mus musculus (house mouse). Lineage: Eukaryota; Metazoa; Chordata; Mammalia; Rodentia; Muridae. The record is from RNAcentral.
UNUCUGCCCCUUGCCAUCAUAUGGCUUCC